RNAcentral lists this ribosomal RNA (119 nucleotides) under Pteropus alecto (black flying fox). The record is from RNAcentral. Lineage: Eukaryota; Metazoa; Chordata; Mammalia; Chiroptera; Pteropodidae.
GUCUAUGGCCAUGUUACCCUGAACGUGCCCAAUCUCGUCUGAUCCUGGAAGCUAAGUAGGUUCGGGCCUGGUUAAUACUUGGAUGGGAGACCACUGUGGAAUACCAGGUGCUAUAGGCG